This 268-nucleotide unclassified non-coding RNA is filed under the name uncultured fungus. RNAcentral describes it as "sequence contains ITS1". Lineage: Eukaryota; Fungi. The record is from RNAcentral.
UUAACGAUUAUAUCGUACUCAGACAUCACUAAAAACAAGAGUUGUGGUCCUCUGGCGGGCACUCAACAGCCGAAGCCGCUGGCGCGAGGCGGCCCGCCAAAGCAACAAAGGUAAAUUUAUUCAAGGGUGGAGUUCCAGACCAGGCUUCUUCGAGAGGCCUGACGACUCUAAACCGCGCCGAAACGUGGUAGCCCCAGGGGUUUGACACCGUGGGCGCUGUCUAUCUGUUGCUCUAGUAAUGAUCCUUCCGCAGGUUCACCUACGGAAA